UCUCUUUCAGUUUUCUCGCCAGGAGGUU
RNAcentral lists this small RNA (28 nucleotides) under Bombyx mori (domestic silkworm). Its description in RNAcentral is "ovarian small RNA-29883". The record is from RNAcentral. Lineage: Eukaryota; Metazoa; Arthropoda; Insecta; Lepidoptera; Bombycidae.